AAUGAACGCUGGCGGCGUGGUUAAGACAUGCAAGUCGAACGGUUUUUGUUGAAGGGCAACUGGAUACAAAAGCAGUGGCGAACGGGUGCGUAACACGUGAACAAUCUACCUCCAAGUGGGGAAUAGCUCGUCGAAAGGCGAAUUAAUACCGCAUGUGGUCGAAGCUCGCAUGAGCAUCGAACCAAAGUCAGGGACCGCAAGGCCUGACGCUAGGAGAGGAGUUCGCGGCCUAUCAGCUAGUUGGCGAGGU
This 250-nucleotide ribosomal RNA is filed under the name uncultured bacterium. RNAcentral's name for it is "partial 16S ribosomal RNA". It matches the Rfam family "Bacterial small subunit ribosomal RNA", at positions 29 to 258 of the family's 1533-position model. The record is from RNAcentral.